Molecule: ribosomal RNA, 467 nt
Filed under: uncultured bacterium
Lineage: Bacteria
Description: partial 16S ribosomal RNA
Rfam family: Bacterial small subunit ribosomal RNA
Source: RNAcentral
GACGAACGCUGGCGGCGUGCUUAACACAUGCAAGUCGAACGGAAAGGCCCUGCUUUUGUGGGGUGCUCGAGUGGCGAACGGGUGAGUAACACGUGAGUACCUGCCCUUGACUUUGGGAUAACUUCAGGAAACUGGGGCUAAUACCGGAUAGGAGCUCCUGCUGCAUGGUGGGGGUUGGAAAGUUUCGGCGGUUGGGGAUGGACUCGCGGCUUAUCAGCUUGUUGGUGGGGUAGUGGCUUACCAUGGCUUUGACGGGUAGCCGGCCUGAGAGGGUGACCGGCCACAUUGGGACUGAGAUACGGCCCAGACUCCUACGGGAGGCAGCAGUGGGGAAUAUUGCACAAUGGGCGGAAGCCUGAUGCAGCAACGCCGCGUGCGGGAUGACGGCCUUCGGGUUGUAAACCGCUUUCGCCUGUGACGAAGCGUGAGUGACGGUAAUGGGUAAAGAAGCACCGGCUAACUACGUG